Molecule: unclassified non-coding RNA, 2090 nt
Filed under: Helicoverpa zea (corn earworm)
Lineage: Eukaryota; Metazoa; Arthropoda; Insecta; Lepidoptera; Noctuidae
Description: splicing factor 3B subunit 3, transcript variant X2
Source: RNAcentral
AAUGCUUCUUUUUGAUUGGUAGAUCGUACCGGUACGAAAUGGCAUACUUGACUUCCGCCAUUUUGCCAACGCCUGGCUGUGAGAUAGGCGUUCAAAGAAAUACAGUGAACAUCCACUUAAAUUCCGGCAAUCUGCCGGUUUUUCUGAAAGACGUAGGAUAAAGCCGCAAAGAUGUAUCUCUACAAUCUGACUUUGCAAGGCUCAUCUUCAAUUACACAUGCCGUUCACGGUAAUUUCUCCGGGACGAAGCAGCAGGAGAUAGUGAUUUCACGUGGGAAGACGUUGGAACUGCUUAGGCCCGACCCCAACACCGGGAAAGUGCAUACGCUGAUGAAAGUGGAGAUUUUCGGCGUUAUCAGAUCAAUGAUGUCAUUUCGGCUCACCGGAGGCACUAAAGAUUAUAUUGUGAUAGGAUCGGAUUCUGGCCGCAUUGUGAUAUUAGAGUAUAUUCCAAAGAAGAACAUUCUGGAAAAAGUUCAUCAAGAAACAUUUGGCAAAUCUGGAUGCCGCAGGAUUGUGCCCGGCCAGUACUUGGCUAUAGAUCCCAAAGGCAGAGCUGUUAUGAUUGGUGCAAUUGAAAAGCAGAAGCUUGUGUACAUAUUGAACAGAGAUGCUGAAGCCAGGCUCACAAUUUCUUCUCCCCUGGAAGCUCACAAGUCCAACACAUUGGUUUACCACAUGGUUGGUGUAGACGUUGGCUUUGAAAACCCAAUGUUUGCUUGUCUGGAGAUUGACUAUGAAGAGGCAGAUGCAGAUCCUUCAGGUGAAGCAGCACAAAAGACACAACAGACACUCACAUUCUAUGAGUUAGAUUUAGGUUUGAACCAUGUUGUCAGAAAGUACUCUGAACCUCUUGAGGAACAUGCAAACUUCCUCAUCACAGUGCCAGGAGGUAAUGAUGGUCCCUCAGGAGUACUCAUUUGCUCGGAAAACUAUCUCACAUAUAAAAACUUGGGUGACCAACAUGAUAUCCGAUGUCCCAUCCCUCGACGGCGAAAUGACUUGGAUGAUCCUGAGAGAGGGAUGAUAUUUGUCUGUUCAGCUACCCACAAGACCAAGUCAAUGUUCUUCUUCUUAGCACAGACUGAACAGGGAGAUAUAUUCAAAAUUACUAUUGAGACUGAUGAAGACAUGGUCACUGAGAUUAAGUUGAAGUACUUUGACACUGUACCUGUGGCUACUGCAAUGUGUGUGCUCAAGACUGGCUUCCUAUUUGUGGCCUGUGAAUUUGGCAACCACUACCUGUACCAAAUUGCUCACUUGGGUGAUGAAGAUGAUGAACCAGAAUUCAGUUCAGCCAUGCCUUUGGAGGAAGGAGACACAUUUUUCUUUGCUCCAAGGCCACUAAGGAAUCUGGUGCUUGUAGAUGAACUGGACUCGCUGUCGCCCAUUCUUGCUUGUCGUGUGGCCGAUUUGGCUGCUGAAGACACUCCUCAAGUGUAUCUGGCUUGUGGCAGAGGACCAAGAUCAUCACUGAGAGCUCUCAGACAUGGUUUAGAGGUUGCUGAGAUGGCUGUGUCUGAGUUGCCUGGUUCUCCCAAUGCUGUAUGGACCGUCAGGCGACACAAGGAUGAAUCUUCUUUCGGCUGAUGAACGAAUAAGAGAUGGUUUCAACAAACACUCGAAGAGGAGUAUGAUUCUUACAUCAUUGUGUCGUUCGUAAAUGCCACGCUUGUACUAUCUAUCGGUGAAACGGUAGAAGAAGUGACGGACUCUGGGUUCCUGGGCACCACGCCCACCCUCAGCUGUCACGCGCUCGGCGCCGACGCCCUCGUUCAAGUGUACCCAGACGGCAUCCGGCACAUCCGCGCCGAUAAGCGUGUCAAUGAAUGGAAGGCUCCUGGGAAGAAAUCCAUUGUCAAAUGCGCAGUUAAUCAGAGACAAGUAGUUAUUGCUCUGACAGGAGGAGAAUUAGUCUAUUUUGAAAUGGACCCUACUGGUCAACUAAAUGAAUACACUGAGAGGAAGAAGUUGUCGUCAGAUGUGUCAUGCAUGGCGUUGGGAUCAGUAGCGACUGGUGAACAAAGAGCCUGGUUCUUAGCUGUUGGCCUGAAUGACAACACUGUCAGGAUCAUCUCAUUAGACCCAUC